UUCUUUUGAUGAAUUUGACCUAUAAUUUGAUUACAUAAGAAAACAUCUCUGCAGGGACACCCUGAAGAAACAGGAAAGAGCACAGGAGAUGAAGAACAAACACAGCCAAUGGAAUCCAUCUCCUGUGAUGGGGAAGCCCAUCCCUUAGGAGACUUGAUGACAGUGGACAGAGACUUGAUGACAUUAUAGAUCCUGGAAGUCGGAUCCUGAUUUACCUAGUUUCCCUGCAGCCAAUGCUUUGGGAUGUGCCUUGGACUCAGCUAAUCAGAUACAGG
Molecule: long non-coding RNA, 275 nt
Filed under: Aotus nancymaae (Ma's night monkey)
Lineage: Eukaryota; Metazoa; Chordata; Mammalia; Primates; Aotidae
Description: lncRNA (ENSANAG00000038837.1)
Source: RNAcentral